AAUAGUCUGAAAUGCGCGUAAAAGCGAGCGGAUGUUUAACCCUAACUUAUAAUAAGGGAUAACAAGGUUCGCAAGGCGGCUGUCAAGCCCCCUAUAUUCAGUAUAGCCAGGGGAAGGCAAAAGGUUGCGACCGUUAACCCACCUGCUGUCUGCGGGUUUAUAAUCCUCGUGUAUACGGCAUUUCGGAUAUUC
Molecule: non-coding RNA, 192 nt
Filed under: Clostridiales bacterium
Lineage: Bacteria; Bacillati; Bacillota; Clostridia; Eubacteriales
Also listed under: 1 other name
Description: 6S RNA
Rfam family: 6S / SsrS RNA
About the family: E. coli 6S RNA was the first non coding RNA to be sequenced, but its function was unknown until recently. It consists of 184 nucleotides that fold into an extended hairpin structure with a large single-stranded internal bulge. The 6S RNA specifically associates with RNA polymerase holoenzyme containing the sigma70 specificity factor.
Source: RNAcentral